Long non-coding RNA from Mesocricetus auratus (golden hamster), 1043 nucleotides. RefSeq lists it as uncharacterized. The transcript is spliced from 3 exons. The record is from RefSeq and is a predicted model, not a curated record. Lineage: Eukaryota; Metazoa; Chordata; Mammalia; Rodentia; Cricetidae.
ACUGGGCAAGUGAGAGAAUGUAAACAUGGCCAGCACAGGCCACACUUAAUGCAAUUAGAAAGCCGAGACCUUUUUGGAAGUGUCUCCUGAAAUGACAUGAAUUCUGUGUCAAAUUUUCCAGGAUUGCUUGUUUUAAGCAGACUAAUGUUAGAGGAUCUUCAGGAGACCUAAUGAAGCAUAUCCGGGAAGCAGAAAGUGCUCUGCAGCGCAAACCAGAAACUGAACAUUCCUCUUAGAAAGACCUGCCAUCUUGCUACUCUAUGAACACUGCUCUCUCUGGAGGCUACAGGGAAAUCAGAAAAAGAUGAUCUGGGUGUCGAGAAAAUCUGCUGGUAAGGAAGACUGAGGCACAGAUGCUUGGCUAGACGGGCUUACAGGAGAGAUAUUUUGUAAUGUAAUCUAAAAAGAAACUCUGCUUGCAAAACUCAGCUUUCUACUGACUGCUUAAAGGUGCCCUUCUGAAAUGGAGGCAGGCUCUGGUCCUACCUGUUACACCAAGGAAGCACAGCAAAGAGAAGAGAUUGACAUGUACCCACAGAGCACUUCCAACGGGUUCUUCCUGUAGGAUUUGUGUGAACUGAGCCAAAAAGAACCUGGGUUCAGUUUCCAGGACCAACAUGGUGGUUCACAAAAAUCCAUAACUGCAGCUCCAGGAAAUCUGAUGACUUUGUCUGACCUAUGCAAGCACCUGGAUCACACAUGGUUCACAGAUAUGCAUGUUGGCAAAACACUCAUACAUAUAAAUAAGUUAUUUUUUUAAAAAUGAAAACAAAUAACUUUCAAAGUUGCACCAUUUACAUGAAAUUUUACAAAUGAACCUCACAUGCAGGCAUGUGUAUGACACUCUCAAUUGACACUGUUUCUUCCUGGCAUGGAGAAAAGGAAGAGGACGGUGGUGGAGCGCAACUGCACAUCUAACGUUUGUUGUUUACCACAGGAGAAGAAUCUGAAGUAAACAGACUGCAGUUACCAUCUUCCAAAUGUCUUGUACUUUCAAAAUCUUGUACUUUACAUCCAACAUUAAUAAAACAUUCAAACAAUAA